Molecule: microRNA, 22 nt
Filed under: Ornithorhynchus anatinus (platypus)
Lineage: Eukaryota; Metazoa; Chordata; Mammalia; Monotremata; Ornithorhynchidae
Description: oan-miR-1373
Source: miRBase by way of RNAcentral
AGCCGAAUGAAUGAAAGUGGGA